GACGAACGCUGGCGGCGUGCUUAACACAUGCAAGUCGAGCGGUAAGGCCCUUUCGGGGUACGACGAGCGGCGAACGGGUGAGUAACACGUGGGUGACCUGCCCUUAGCUCUGGGAUAAGCCUGGGGAAACUAGGGUCGUAAUACCGGAUAUGACCUCAUGACUCAUGUUGUGGGGUGGAAAGCCUUGUGCGGCUAGGGAUGGCCCGCGGUCUAUCAGCUUGUUGGUGGGGUAAUUGCCUACCAAGGCGACGACGGGUAGCCGGCCUGAGAGGGCGACUGGCCACACUGGGGAC
RNAcentral lists this ribosomal RNA (293 nucleotides) under uncultured bacterium. RNAcentral describes it as "partial 16S ribosomal RNA". It matches the Rfam family "Bacterial small subunit ribosomal RNA", at positions 28 to 320 of the family's 1533-position model. The record is from RNAcentral.